GUAUGGGCAUGUUUCCAUAGUUCCUGUUGAAUCAUUAGGAUAUUUUAAAUAAAUAAUAGACAAUAAUUUGUUUGGCUACUUUGUUCAUUAGUAAUUUACGAUGCAUCGGUAAUCGUGAUAAUCGUGAUAACUGUGAUCAUGGUCAAUACCGUGAUCAUCGUUCAAAAAUUGAAUUGUAGCACCCUGAAUUGUAAUCUAAUCGAAUUGUGGGGUGCCUAAUAUGGCACACCCCUAAUAGAUUUAAGAGGGAACAAAUAUUAAAGUUCUACGUUGUUCACGUUACCCUCAGUAAAUAAGUUUAAGGUCACACACAAUGAUGUUUGUAAAAUGGUGGCAAAAAAUAAAUAAAUAAAUAAACUUAAAAUUAUGCCACAUCGGGGAAGUAUGGAGACAGAAUUUACUUUCAUUGGCUGCUCCUGAGCCUCAUGCACCGCGCCACUUCAAGAAUCAGCUCACUAUACUGAACGCAGAAUACAAGGAGGGAGGUGACCAAGACGUCUCUCAUUUACGGUGGCCUAAUAAAUAACCCAUUAACAUUUGCGGGCGGAACAUACUAAAAACAACAGUCUCAUGCUUCACGGCUCCCAGCAUGCAUAGUGGGAUGCGCCUCUCUCCUGCACUAGUAUUCACCCCAUCCUCUGAUUGGUUAAAUGACAAUGGUAAAUGUAGGUACACUUGUAUUGCACCUUUCUACCUUUUUAAGGCCUUCAAGGCACUUCACACUGUAUCCUUAUCUACCUACUGAUAGCACCAGGAGCAACGUGGGGUUUAGUAUCUUGCUCAAGGAUACUUAGACGAGGUCAUCAGGGCCGAGAAUUGAACCCAUAACCUCUGAGUUGCAGAACAACUACUCUACCACUGAACCACACUACAACCCCAAGCAGCAGAGACAGAGCCUCCGAAGAAGGAGCUGUCCUCACACACACUGGAGAGUGAGAGUAGAGGUUUUCUUGUGAGAGAAGCUCCGGACAAGAAAACUCCCAAUUCAGGCACUUCUGGAGAAUAUGGACCAGGUCAGCAUGAUCUCAAGGAUGGCAUCAUAGACUGAUGAAUAGGGAGGGCUGUAUCCCUGCUUGAGCCAACCGUCGGCCAUUGCGUUGACAGUGCCCAUCUCAACAGUGAACUGUGAGAGAGAUUUCUCUGCAAUGAACAAAGGAAGACAUUUGGUCAGAACUGAACAAUUUGCCUAGGGUGAGACGCCGGUGACAACAAGCAACCCUGAGUGGAGCUUCCGAUAGUUCACCUGCUCUGUAUUCAGGUCCACACACAGCAUCUCAUGUCAACAUCGAGAGAAUUCAUUGAAAUGGGGCGGCCUUGCCCUCCACAUCCUUCACAUCCUCUGAGCCAUCACAGCGGAUAUUUGAUAUUGGUACA
Corythoichthys intestinalis (scribbled pipefish) is the source of this 1374-nucleotide long non-coding RNA. RefSeq lists it as uncharacterized. NCBI's taxonomy places the organism in Eukaryota, Metazoa, Chordata, Actinopteri, Syngnathiformes, Syngnathidae. The transcript has 3 exons. The record is from RefSeq and is a predicted model, not a curated record.